This 73-nucleotide transfer RNA is filed under the name Ipomoea nil (Japanese morning glory). It matches the Rfam family "tRNA". From Rfam's summary of the family: Transfer RNA (tRNA) molecules are approximately 80 nucleotides in length. Lineage: Eukaryota; Viridiplantae; Streptophyta; Magnoliopsida; Solanales; Convolvulaceae. The record is from Rfam by way of RNAcentral.
GGGGAUGUAGCUUAGAUGGUAGAGCGGUUGCUUAGCAUGCGAGAGGUACGGGGAUCGAUACCUCGCAUCUCUA